CAAAAACAUAUGAUGAGAGGAGGAAUUUCAUGAGAGGGGAUGUCAGUAAUCAACAUAGAACCUCACAUAGUAUAAGAACAUGUCGCAUUAGUUUGAAAGCAUAGUGAAUGGUGGAAGAGAGGAAGAAUGUGAUGAUUGUACGAGAUGGCAAAUAGCAUAGACAACAUAGGAAGAGAGGAGGAAUUUCAUGAGAGGGAAGGUCGUAAAUCAACAUAGAACCUCGCAUAGUAUGAGAACAACAUAUCGUAUUAGUUUAAAAGCAUGAAUGGUGGAAGAGAGGAAGAAUAUGAUGAUUGUACGAGAUAGCAAAUAGCAUAGACAACAUAGGAAGAGAGGAGGAAUUUCAUGAGAGGGAAAGUCAUAAAUCAACAUAGAACCUUACAUCGUACAAGAACAACAUAUAAUAUUAGUUAAUAAGCAUAGUGAAUGGUGGAAGAGAGGAAGAAUAUGGUGAUUAAUUGUACGAGAUAGCAAAUAACAUAGACAACAUAGGAAGAGAAGAGGAAUUUCAUGAGAGGGAAAGUCAUAAAUCUACAUAGAACCUCACAUAGUAUAAGAACAAUAUAUAGUAUUAGUUUGAAAGCCUAGUAAAUGGUGGGAGGGAUUAAGAAUAUGAUUGUACGAGAGCUAGAAAGACGAAGAGGACACAAGAGAAAGUAUUAACAAAACCUCACAUAAGAACAUGUAUCAGCUUAUAAGAACAACACUGGCCAUCAUAAUAACAGCAUAGCAUAAGAUAGCAUAGCACACGACACGCAGUAAUAGAAGUAGUAGGAGGAGGAAGAAGAAUAAAAUAGACGUAUAAAUGAGGAAAUACGAGAAAUGGAAAACUCAGUGGACGUAGGAAGAAGAGGAGGAGGAAGAAAAAAAUAUAUACAUGAAUGAGAAAAUAAGUGAAGAAAAAGAGAACUCGAAGGACGUAGGAAGAAAUAGAAACACGAAUGAGAAAAUGAGAAGAGAAAGAAAAAUUCGAAGGACGCAAGAAAAGGAGGAGGAAG
Long non-coding RNA from Eriocheir sinensis (Chinese mitten crab), 998 nucleotides. RefSeq lists it as uncharacterized. The record is from RefSeq and is a predicted model, not a curated record. NCBI's taxonomy places the organism in Eukaryota, Metazoa, Arthropoda, Malacostraca, Decapoda, Varunidae. The transcript has 2 exons.